RNAcentral lists this ribosomal RNA (440 nucleotides) under uncultured bacterium. Its description in RNAcentral is "partial 16S ribosomal RNA". It matches the Rfam family "Bacterial small subunit ribosomal RNA", at positions 339 to 795 of the family's 1533-position model. The record is from RNAcentral.
CUACGGGGUGCUCCAGUGAGGAAUCUUCCGCAAUGGGGGCAACCCUGACGGAGCGACACCGCGUGCGGGAUGAAGGGCUUUUGCCUGUAAACCGCUUUUCUGAAGGAGCAAGUUCUGAGUUAACUUCAGGAAUAAGUGCCUGCUAACUACGUGCCAGCAGCCGCGGUAAUACGUAGGGCGCAAGCGUUAACCGAAAUCAUUGGGCGUAAAGCGUUCGUAGGCGUUUCGGAAAGUCUGAUGUAAAAUUUUGAAGCUCAACUUCAAAAGCGUAUCGGAAACUUCCGAAAUAGAGGAAUUCAGAGGCUAGUGGAAUGCUGUAUGUAGGGGUUAAAUCCGUAGAUAUACAGUGGAACACCAAAUGCGAAGGCAGCUAGCUGGGAAUUUCCUAACGCUGAGGGACGAAAGCGUGGGUAGCGAACGGGAUUAGAUACCGGGUAGUC